AAACGACUCUCGGCAACGGAUAUCUCGGCUCUCGCAUCGAUGAAGAACGUAGCGAAAUGCGAUACCUGGUGUGAAUUGCAGAAUCCCGCGAACCAUCGAGUCUUUGAACGCAAGUUGCGCCCGAGGCCAUUUGGCCGAGGGCACGCCUGCCUGGGCGUCACGC
Molecule: ribosomal RNA, 163 nt
Filed under: Festuca fasciculata
Lineage: Eukaryota; Viridiplantae; Streptophyta; Magnoliopsida; Poales; Poaceae
Description: 5.8S ribosomal RNA
Rfam family: 5.8S ribosomal RNA
About the family: 5.8S ribosomal RNA (5.8S rRNA) is a component of the large subunit of the eukaryotic ribosome. It is transcribed by RNA polymerase I as part of the 45S precursor that also contains 18S and 28S rRNA. Functionally, it is thought that 5.8S rRNA may be involved in ribosome translocation.
Source: RNAcentral